Molecule: RNA transcript, 2247 nt
Organism: Haplochromis burtoni (Burton's mouthbrooder)
Lineage: Eukaryota; Metazoa; Chordata; Actinopteri; Cichliformes; Cichlidae
Gene: golt1ba
Gene name: golgi transport 1Ba
Exons: 6
Source: RefSeq, a predicted model, not a curated record
AAAGUUGCCAAGAUGAAUGCGUCAUGGACGCUGUUCCGGAAGAUGUCAGCGAGAGAAGGUGUGUUUCCGGAAGACGUGGCUGUUGCUGCAGUGGCAGCUGUCAUCCAAAAUUAUUCUGAGAAGAGCUUUUUUGUUCUGCUUCUGUCUCAUCCAGCUACAUUAUCAAGAUGAUUUCUCUAACGGACUCCCAAAAGAUUGGAAUGGGAUUAACAGGCUUCGGCGUGUUUUUCCUCUUCUUCGGGAUGAUCCUGUUCUUUGACAAAGCACUUCUGGCUAUUGGAAAUAUUCUCUUUGUUGCUGGACUCUCCUUUGUCAUCGGCCUUGAGAGGACCUUCCGCUUCUUUUUCCAGAAGCACAAGAUGAAGGCCACCAGUUUCUUCCUGGGAGGAGUGUUUGUGGUGUUGAUUGGCUGGCCCAUUAUUGGAGUUUUGCUCGAGAUCUAUGGUUUUUUUCUCUUGUUCAGGGGCUUCUUUCCAGUGGUUGUAGGCUUUAUCAGGAGAAUACCAGUCCUUGGCUCCAUCCUAAACCUGCCCUUUAUCAGUGCAGAAGCUUGAGUACCCGGAGAGAACCUGCAAAUCCCACCCAGAAUGGCCCCAGUGGAUUUUAACAUAUGCGGACAAAGUGGGCGAGAGCAACACUAUGGUAUAACAGUGACUUUUUGUAACCAGAGAAAGUUGUUUGAUUAUAGGUUUUAUAAAGCAUCACAAUCUCCCAUGGUGCUGAGUGAAAGCGCCUAAAUAUACAGAUCAGAUUCAGAUUUCCACAUUCAAGCAGACAAGGACUGUUUUUGUCUGUAACUUCAGUGGUCAGCACUACCAAUCACAGAUUCAUCACUGUAUCGCACCAUCAGUUUCUUACUGUCAACACUAAAGUCUCUACAAUAAAUGUUUCAAAUGCCAUCGAUCCCUUCGCCAUUGACUGCAUCUUGCGUUUAAAAGGAGGAUAGAAGACUCCCUCAAGGCCCGACUUUAUCUACAUGAUGUUCUUAAUCUGUGGAACUGUCAGAUAAAACUACCCAGUGCAAGGACAAGAAGUGGAAGUGCAUCCUGCCAUGUUUGCCACGUUUGUGCCUGUGCUUUAACUUAAUUUGCACAAAAGCUUUUAAAUCCAGGAUUUUGUUUACAGUUACACCCCCGUUUCAGCUGUUGGAAUAUUUACUUUGUCCAUUUCUUUGUGAUUGUGUUCAGUGUUGGCUAGAAGUGUUUCUGUAUAAAUUAUUUUUUAAAUAUGAUCGCUUGACUUUAUCUGUUAUGAGUGGCAGUCUGUCUACUCGUUCGUUGGGAUAGACACAGUUCUCGAGUUAAGUGUUCAAAGACAAUGUUCAUGCAACACAAAAGUUAAGGACACAUUGGAUCUUGAUGAAUUAAUAUUCAAAUUGAAAAUCCUUACUGACGCACAAAAUAGUUUUAUACCAAAAUCAUAUACUGUUUGAGAGCUAGGAUUUAAAAUGACAACAAAAGUUUAAAUUAUUUUCUGCCUUUUUUUUGAGCAUUACAUUUAUGAUUUACUUGUUUUUUGUUUUUUAAAUAACCGGUAGUAGGAAAUGUUGUUGUUUGAACAGAAGAUGACAUGCUACUAACUAUAGGCAUCAGAUCUGUGAUAUUAGAUGUUGCUAAAUAAAUAAGAGAAAGCUACAAAGCCAAACAGGAUUAUUAUCAAUAAAAACUUCUGUGUGGAACUGAAAAAAUACUAUUACAAAAUAAAAAAGGAAACAACUUUCCCCAGCUGGGCCAGAUAAAGCUAAGGCACCACAAGUGUGGCACAACUAUGUGCAUUUUUUUUUGACAGUGUUGUGGAGGGUCUUCAAAGAGUACUCAAAUAUUUUGCAGUAAAUAUUGAAUAAUAUUUUUGCCAUCCGUAUUACUUUUUAUAAUCUUUUCCUGUUUGCUUCCACCAAAGGGGACAGCAUGUGGAAUAGGCUCAAGCCCCCAAAACACUGAGUUGGAUAAGCGAGUAGGUUUGUAAAAUUCUUUCGCCUGUGAGGCUUUUUCAGUGUUUUCAGUGUUGACAUGACAGUGAUCAAAAAAAGCAACACUUGAAUCUAUUCUAAGGUUUUUGGGCCUCAUUCACUAAUAUGUGUGAACAAAUAUUCUUAGCUGAAAUAGGUGUGCACAAAAAGUUACUCUCAUGUUUAUGAGAUGUGCACAUAAGAAUCAUUCAACAGCCCAUGCCCGCAGUCAGUAUACUCAUUUAUCUAAGGUAACACUUUAGAUAACUAACAGCUCUAAAGCUUAACCUAGACUAAAA